GACGUCGAAAUCAUCAUGCCCUUAUGACCUGGGCUACACACGUGCUACAAUGGGCGGUACAAAGGGCUGCGAACCCGCAGGGGGAGCGAAUCCCAAAAAGCCGCUCUCAGUUCGGAUUGCAGGCUGCAACUCGCCUGCAUGAAGCCGGAAUCGCUAGUAAUCGCGGAUCAGCAUGCCGCGGUGAAUACGUUCCCGGGCCUU
Molecule: ribosomal RNA, 201 nt
Filed under: uncultured Geobacillus sp.
Lineage: Bacteria; Bacillati; Bacillota; Bacilli; Caryophanales; Anoxybacillaceae
Description: partial 16S ribosomal RNA
Rfam family: Bacterial small subunit ribosomal RNA
Source: RNAcentral